Molecule: transfer RNA, 76 nt
Filed under: Klebsiella aerogenes
Lineage: Bacteria; Pseudomonadati; Pseudomonadota; Gammaproteobacteria; Enterobacterales; Enterobacteriaceae
Also listed under: 12 other names
Description: tRNA-Val
Rfam family: tRNA
About the family: Transfer RNA (tRNA) molecules are approximately 80 nucleotides in length. Their secondary structure includes four short double-helical elements and three loops (D, anti-codon, and T loops). Further hydrogen bonds mediate the characteristic L-shaped molecular structure. tRNAs have two regions of fundamental functional importance: the anti-codon, which is responsible for specific mRNA codon recognition, and the 3' end, to which the tRNAs corresponding amino acid is attached (by aminoacyl-tRNA synthetases). tRNAs cope with the degeneracy of the genetic code in two manners: having more than one tRNA (with a specific anti-codon) for a particular amino acid; and 'wobble' base-pairing, i.e. permitting non-standard base-pairing at the 3rd anti-codon position.
Source: RNAcentral
GGGUGAUUAGCUCAGCUGGGAGAGCACCUCCCUUACAAGGAGGGGGUUGGCGGUUCGAUCCCGUCAUCACCCACCA